This 596-nucleotide unclassified non-coding RNA is filed under the name Hevea brasiliensis (rubber tree). Lineage: Eukaryota; Viridiplantae; Streptophyta; Magnoliopsida; Malpighiales; Euphorbiaceae. The record is from RNAcentral.
GAAAAAUAUGAAGGAGCUAAACCUGUUUUUGAGAUAGGAGGACAAGAAGCCCUUGAGGGCCUAGUAAAAUCUCAUUAAGGAAACUAACUAAUCCAAACCAAACGACAGGAGUCACGUCAACUCCAGCAAGCGGAGGAAUCAAUUUUCGUGUUGCGCCAAGAAAGGGCUCUGUGGGUGCAUAAGCUAUGACAUAUGGGAACUUGCCAACUGGAAGCUUAGGAUACCAGGACAUGACUAUUCUCAAAAUGAACAGAAAGGCAAAUGCUGAUAGGAAUGGGCCAAGAAAGCUGAUUGCCAGUUUUGCUGUGCCAGGGUCUAAAUCUAACAGCACCAAUCUUUGCUCCAGUGGUGAGGUAUCUAUUGCACCGUGUUUCAAGACAUUAAUAACUUCUUCUGAAUUGAGAGGACCAUUUGACUGAACGCCGUCCAGAUAAGAACAUGCUCUUAACCUUUGUAAAUAUCUUCUUCUCACGGGUAUUAGGGAGUUUCCAUUGGUAUGGGAGUGUAACAAAGCAGAUGGGUAUCCAUUCGAUAGAGGUGGCCUGCAAAUAAGGGAAGAUAUAGUCAUUUCUCUCUCUCUCUCUCCUUCUGAGAAA